Molecule: ribosomal RNA, 253 nt
Filed under: uncultured bacterium
Lineage: Bacteria
Description: partial 16S ribosomal RNA
Rfam family: Bacterial small subunit ribosomal RNA
Source: RNAcentral
UACGUAGGGGGCGAGCGUUGUCCGGAAUCAUGGGGCGUAAAGCGCGUGUGGGCGGCCCGGUAAGUCCGCUGUGAAAGUCCAGGGCUCAACCCUGGGAUGCCGGUGGAUACUGUCGGGCUCGAGUCCGGAAGAGGCGAGUGGAAUUCCUGGUGUAGCGGUGGAAUGCGCAGAUAUCAGGAGGAACACCAAUAGCGAAGGCAGCUCGCUGGGACGGUACUGACGCUAAGGCGCGAAAGCGUGGGGAGCGAACAGG